RNAcentral lists this ribosomal RNA (166 nucleotides) under Ecuadendron acosta-solisianum. Its description in RNAcentral is "5.8S ribosomal RNA". It matches the Rfam family "5.8S ribosomal RNA". Rfam says of the family: 5.8S ribosomal RNA (5.8S rRNA) is a component of the large subunit of the eukaryotic ribosome. It is transcribed by RNA polymerase I as part of the 45S precursor that also contains 18S and 28S rRNA. The record is from RNAcentral. Lineage: Eukaryota; Viridiplantae; Streptophyta; Magnoliopsida; Fabales; Fabaceae.
AACGACUCUCGGCAACGGAUAUCUCGGCUGUCGCAUCGAUGAAGAACGUAGCGAAAUGCGAUACUUGGUGUGAAUUGCAGAAUCCCGUGAACCAUCGAGUCUUUGAACSCAAGUUGCGCCCGAAGCCAUUAGGCCGAGGGCACGUCUGGYUGGGUGUCACACAACG